AUAGUUUUAGUCAUUUGUUAACCCGAUUUAGUGGUUUUCUCCACUUGUUCUGGUGUUGCAUUAGAUGUCUUUGGAUAAUUCCAACCCGACUUCUCAAAAGAUUUUCCUUCUACCUUGGGUUUCUUUAUUCCCUUUGACUUGGGUUUCUAAUUGGUGAAGGUAGCACCAACCAUCUUGUAGUCUACCAAGUAGUUUGUUCUAAUCAUUGCAGCAAGAAGUUCACACAUCAUUUAUCUUCCAUAAUAACAUAACCA
RNAcentral lists this long non-coding RNA (254 nucleotides) under Vitis vinifera (wine grape). RNAcentral's name for it is "long non-coding RNA (VVIN_LNC004575)". Lineage: Eukaryota; Viridiplantae; Streptophyta; Magnoliopsida; Vitales; Vitaceae. The record is from RNAcentral.